RNAcentral lists this ribosomal RNA (466 nucleotides) under Caulobacter sp. RNAcentral describes it as "bacterial SSU rRNA". It matches the Rfam family "Bacterial small subunit ribosomal RNA", at positions 395 to 879 of the family's 1533-position model. The record is from RNAcentral. Lineage: Bacteria; Pseudomonadati; Pseudomonadota; Alphaproteobacteria; Caulobacterales; Caulobacteraceae.
UGCCGCGUGAAUGAUGAAGGUCUUAGGAUUGUAAAAUUCUUUCACCGGGGACGAUAAUGACGGUACCCGGAGAAGAAGCCCCGGCUAACUUCGUGCCAGCAGCCGCGGUAAUACGAAGGGGGCUAGCGUUGCUCGGAAUUACUGGGCGUAAAGGGAGCGUAGGCGGACUGUUUAGUCAGAGGUGAAAGCCCAGGGCUCAACCUUGGAAUUGCCUUUGAUACUGGCAGUCUUGAGUACGGAAGAGGUAUGUGGAACUCCGAGUGUAGAGGUGAAAUUCGUAGAUAUUCGGAAGAACACCAGUGGCGAAGGCGACAUACUGGUCCGUUACUGACGCUGAGGCUCGAAAGCGUGGGGAGCAAACAGGAUUAGAUACCCUGGUAGUCCACGCUGUAAACGAUGAGUGCUAGUUGUCGGCAGGCAUGCCUGUCGGUGACGCAGCUAACGCAUUAAGCACUCCGCCUGGGGA